This is an RNA transcript of Python bivittatus (Burmese python), 4504 nucleotides long. RefSeq lists it as uncharacterized. The record is from RefSeq and is a predicted model, not a curated record. Lineage: Eukaryota; Metazoa; Chordata; Lepidosauria; Squamata; Pythonidae.
GGGGUGAUGGGAUUCCUGAUCACACACAUCUAGAGGGUGCCAAGUCAGGGGCGGUGGCUUGACGAGUUCUUUCGAAGUGCGGUAUAUUAACUUAGGCAGCUAUUAAGAGGAAAGUGCGGAGAACAAGGGGAGCAGGGAGGAGAGACCUUCCAGACAGACAGACACACCUCAGGUAGUCAGCUGGGAUCCAGGCACAGGAAGAGAUUUCUACGUGUCCUGCACCUGGAGCCUAAGGAUGCUGAAGAAUUUAUUUCAGCCCAAUGGACUGAUCUAAUUCCCACUUCCCAGGACAGUCACCGGUGGAUUCUGUGAAUAAUGUGCCCAGCUGAGCUAUGUUCUAGCAGACCACCCUGUUUUCCUUGAAAAGUAUGUGACAGCAUUUGAGAAUCCUACCUGGAGACCACAGAACGCAGAGGGAGUGAAUUCCUUUGUAUAGAAUUAUGCUGCUAGUGGACUGUCUGCCUUAGAAGUGGGCAUCCAUAAUCUUCCUUAGGUUACAAACUGCCGUGUACAAUAUUCUUCACCAUUAGCCAUAUUGGUUGGGACUUUAGGGACUUGCAGCUCAGUAGGACCCCAGAUUCCCCACUCUUGCACUUGGUCAAUAAACGUUAGGACUUGUUUAGUUCCUGCCUUUUGUUCCUGAAUGAUUAAACAGUACACUGAUGUGAAUUCCAAUGUCAUCUCAUUAAAAUAAGAAAAAGUGGGGAUGAGAAAUUGUUCCUGAAUUUACCAAUUCGUUCCUCAAGCUAACUGUGUAGGCAACAAGCUAGUUCAGAAGUUCACCAUCCUAUCAUAAAUAGCUACGCUUAGUUUUCAUUCAGUUAAAAUUAAAUUAAAAUUAGUUUGGACCUUAGCCUACCCACUUCCUUGUCCUGGUCCUACCCCCUUUUUGGAGACUGGCUUAAUAUUUCAUGCGAAGGUCAAAAGCAGUCUUCAACCCCAAAGGCAUGGUACACCUGCUGCUUUAAAGAAUCAAACCCCCAGACAGUGCACAAAUAGUUUGCCUGUGUAAUCCAAUGUUACAUUGGAUAACAAUUUUUCCAACCCCCCAUUACCAGAUUACCCAUAUUAAUUGCUAGGAAAAAAAAAAAAAACUAAGCAGAAGCCGUUUUAAGAAAUCCUCUUACUUACGUCUGGUAACAGAAGCAAGAAAGACAAUUUGGAGGAGCUAUUAAUAAUGAACAUUCAGAGGCCCGUAUUUCCUGGCAAAUUGAUCCAUUUGUUCUUCCCGUCAGUGAGAUAGAGGGGAGGCUGGUUUAAGCCUAAGUAAAAUGGAAAUAAAUUUAGAUUUUAAAUACAGUAUCAGCAAAUAUGCAAUAACUAAUGGACUGUGCUAGCUGCUUUUGCUGCACUUUUACUGGCAUAUGACGGACAUCUGCCAGUAGAAUUUUUAAGUUAUUAUUUUAAAACCCAGCUGUUUUCAGUGAUUCAUUUCCUCCAAUUUCCCAGACAAGUCAUAGCGAACCAGAGCAUCCCCUUUGCCAGCUCUGGUUGCCAAUAUCAGUACUUCAAAAUUCUUUUUACUCCCAAGCUUUUAAAACUGAAUUUGCUGUGUGAAUUUAUUUUUCCCUCCCCUGGUGAUUAAGCUUCAGCCUUCCCCACUAAUCAUAGAAAUGGAACUCCCCAUAGACAAAUAAGUACACAAUGGUUCAGGUCUCAGGCCAACAGCCUCAGGGCUCUUUCACCACAUUAUCUCUCAAACCAUGUGCUUUUCCAUGCGUCCUUGCUCUGCCUAAUUAAGCACACUGUUGUUAGCAGUGUGCACAUUUAAAAACAGAGAGUGCUGUUUUUUAGAGGGUAUGAAGCAGAUGAACCCGAAGUCCUGACUGUAUCAAAAGAGGGUAAAAAGAAGCAGUGCACUUUCAGCAAAUUUUUCUCUAAUUGCAUCCAAAGGAUGUGUGUUUGUGGCAAAAUAAUUUACCCAAUGACAGGAGUUUAAUAUUUUCUGAAGAGUGCUUGGUUCCUCCGUGAUGUUAGCAUGCAGCCAGUCGGAGUAUCUUUUUCUGCCUUUUCUGCUUUUGUUCCUUUCUUGGGUCUUGUGGGCUUUACUAUAACACGACAACAUUCAGGUGGGUGGGGUGGAGGUUUGGGCCAUUUUUAUAUGACAAGAUUACAGUUUUGAGGAAUUCAAUGGGGCUUUUCUCCCACAAUGAGAAAAACUGACCAAAUUUUGUGGAGAUUUGGGGGUUUUUUUAAGGGUUAAACGUGUGUCAUAAACCUCCACAAGGAACACAUUUUCAGGCUUUAAACUACUCCCACCCCCAUCCUAAUCCAUCACAAACAUAGUCCAAAAAUGUCACCUGUACCCACUCCAGGAAGCUUUAGGAUGUAAAAGAAGUCUCUGGGGAUCUAUUUUCUUAGCAGACAGGAUCUUCUAUUAUUCUUCUGCCUCCCAGCUCAUAUGGUUCCCAACUAGGCCACAGAUGAAGUGUGUUAUGCUAGCAUAAAAGCUAGCCAACAUGUAAUGCAACAGCAACACUGAGUUUCCGCCAUGAAGAGAAGUUCUGCCUGUUACACUUGCUCCCUAAAAGAUGAUCUUGGUGAAUGCUUUGCAGACUGAAAGACAAAUGUACACAUUCAUGGACUCUGAGCUGGGGAUGGGGGGAAAGGCUUGGAACUUUUUUUGCCUCUCGUAAUAAUUUAGUGUCUCUUUAAUGAGUGGCAUGAUGAGCAGGAAGCCAGGAGAGUGAAUGUUGAUUGGCUGAAUUGUUCAGGUAGGCGGGGCUGUCUGAAGGCACUCUUAGUGAGCCCCAGGCCUGGCAAAAGGGUGUGCUAGAGGUGUAUGACAAUCAUGCUGGUUGAGAACAGUGACGGACAAAGGAACUGUGACAAUCCAGCACGUUGGGGAUGCUUUGCACAUGGGAUGGACUUGUGGUGUGGCAGGACCCAACUGUUAACUAAAAGGUAAUUUAGCCUAAGGCUUAUUAACAGAUGGCCCAUAUAAAUAGGAAAAAAUGAGUAGAAUGAAGAUGGAGAGCUAUAAAUAUUCAUUUUCAGAGCUUUCAUUUCCCUUCUCUUGUAAUCCAUUUAAACUAUGCAAAACUGAGCUUAAUCUCAAGUGCUUCUCAGAGGGCAUGAGGGGGUGAGAAGUGGCCUAGAGCAAAAUCUAGUUACCUUUUCCCAGUAGGCAAUAAGAUCUCAUUAUUUCACCAUUCUGUAAUAAAAUGCAGAGCUGAACUUUGCUGGCACAAGGGAAUGUAAUGUAAUAUCUACAUGAGGGCUAGAAUGUGUUUCUAGCCAAACUUAACUUCUGCGUCUUCCAUCCCAUAUUUUACCCUUUUUGAUAAAACUUUUUUUUGUUGCUUUGGUAAAAUGAAAAACAACAACUAAUAUUUGCAAGGCACUGAUUUUGGCAAAGGAAAAGAAAUAGCAAAACUAUUUUGUGCAAUUGUUCUCAAAACAGUGGGAUAAGAAUAAUCUCACACAGGGGCAAAAUGUAUAGAAGAACAUCUGUAAAAUCUGUGGAUCAGAUCAGAGGCUGUCCAGGAACAUGUCUGUAUGCUACCUCCUUCAGAUACGGCAAAACUGAGUGUAUGGAGCAUCAUCAAGCUAGCAUUGUCUGUUCCUGAAGCCUUUACAUGUUUCAGAGCUUGAAGAAGACUCAGCAAGAAUAAUAUAUUUUCAAAUUUAAUUUAAACCAUAUAGCCACAUGGUCUCAUCUAUUCUGGUUUAGUUUUUUGUCAAACAUUCCCAAGACUUACUCUUUUUAAAGAAUGGAAAAGACCUUGAAAGUAAUCCCUAUAACAUGUUGCAUUUGUUACUAUAAUGCCAAGACUUUGGAAAGUUUGCAAGACUGUGUUCCUUUGAACAAACACCAUUAUUAUUUACUUUUAAGUUUAAACCUUUCUUUUUCCUCCAACAUGGUGCUGAGGCUGGUUGUAUUAGUGGAGAUGGCAUUGUUAGUUGCUGGUUUUUAGAAGGUUGCAGAUGGUUGGAGGGGAAGACCUCUUGCUCAGAUGAUGGAGGGAUCUUCUGGGGUCUUCCCUCUCCUGCUCCUAGACUGGACUGUUAGCGCUUGCCAUUGGGCUUGUGUGGUGUAUAUCCUGGAACCUCUUGUUCUGCACUGCCAGAUGGAGGACUGUCUUCCCAGAGCCAACGAUGGCAGCAGUGAGAUGGUGGGACUGCUGGAAGCGCUGAUCAGCUGUUGAGCAGUUUGUGCCCUCAGCAGCAAUCAGCAGUGCUGCGCUGGAAGGAAGAAGCCCUGCAGCACCUGUGACGUCAUGGGAGGCCCUCUUUUGGCUUGCAUGGAGGAGGAGAGCAUUGGAGUUUAAAUGUGGCCAAGGGAGGUGUGAUUGAUGGCAAUGGCCUAAAAGGGCAGCUAUUCCAUAUAUACUGUAUACUUAUAACAUAAUUCCCCCUGAGAUUAAAUUGUCCCUGUCCCUGAUGGCCUUUCAUAAGGCCUUAAAAACCUGACUUUGUGCUCAAGCCUGGGCCUCUGGGUGUGGGUUAGAGCCCUUCUCCUGGUUGUAUGGAUGAUGAUUUGGUUGUGCCUGGCUGCUAUGUG